AUUGAUAGAUACAGUUGAUGCAGACUGUGAAAUUCCAAGUUGUGAUUGCAGGCAUUCUGCAAAAACUAACCUUUGGCAUACUUGGCUUCAGCCAACCUCUUUCUAGUAAAUUCCCCACUGGUUCUUGGCUUUUCUUGUGGAAUUAACACAUUUACAAAGUUUUCUUCAUUGGUAUUCCUGGUGUGCGGGCCUGAAUAUCUUUCACCCCUUGACUUGUGGGAUCGUUUUGUUUGUCUUUAGUUCACCGUUUUAAUAAGAGAGAAGCCAGCAGCCACAUCAGUUCUGGGAAGAACGGAAGCGGGUCUCUUGCGGAGAGACCCCAGGUUAUUCAGACUGCUGUUGGGUCUCCUGUAGUAGGCAGUGGAUUUCCAUUUUGCUCAUUGAUGUAAAUGCCCCUGAGGGGUUGGCCAGGAAACUGAAUGCCUGCUCCCCCUGGUGGCUGAAAACAGCAGUCACAGUCUCCAUUGGGGAAGCCAAGGGAGAUUUGAGUGUAAAAACCCAGUUUGAAAUUGUUGUGUCUUAGAGGUAAAGUAAGUAAAUAAUGGAGAUAACGGCUCACAUGCUGAGGCUGUUUCCUGUGUUUUUAUUGUGGGUGUUAGGAACAAUUUCGGCUCUCUGUGGGAGGCGGUUGGUUUCCUAACUUAAUCAGUUGGCUGAGAAAGUGCUUUACAGAUGAUUGUUCUAUGUGAGCAGAGAAAGUGGGGUUUUGAGGAAGAGCCAGUCUGAGUGGAGAUGGUCUCGUCCUGAUGACUGAGCUCCUGGUACAGCGGUUUUGAUGACAGAAGGUCUGCUUUCUCGGGUAGUGGAAUAGACCCUUGUUUCCUAAGUGCCCUCCCUUCCCGAAGUUCAGGCUGGGUUUGGGGUCAGACAAGGAUGACGCAAAGGGGUCCUAGUCCAGAGAUGGGAGGAGAACGAAUGGGCAGGACCCUGGGAGUUCCUGCCAAGAGUCACAGGUCACAUCCCUCUUUCAGGAAGGGGGGGUGGUUCUUUGCAUGUGGUUUGAAGUAGUGAGGGGAGGGCUUGUGCGGUCUGAAGGCUUUGAGGAAACUUCAGAUUUAAGCAAGGUGGAAAGACAAGGAUGAAGGGCAUUCCAGAAGGUCCCAGAACAGCCCAGGAAAUUGGCUGUUGAGAGGUAGGGGAUGUGAGGAGAGGCUUUUCGAGACUCAGCACUGGUCUAGUACUUUCCUUCAGGCAUAUUUUACUGUUUACUUGACUCCCUCGAAAUGUGCAACCCCAAACUGAACGUGUUAACCCUCAAGAAACCCAGCAGGGGCUGUGCGCACCGGCUGACAGGUUUCACCGCUAAAAAUGGAAUCAUAGCCUGAUUUUCCUAAUUCACAGGGGGGCGGGGGGAACGACAAAAAAAAAUUAAGAAAUGGAUGAGAUUUUUUUUUUUUUAAUUUAAAGAAUUUCUCCCAUGUUCCUUUCCUUAUAUGUUUGGAACUCACUGUUACAUGUUUGUGUUAGAUUUAAGGUGAAUAUGAUGUCUGAUCUGGCAGAAGCAUAAUUAAGUACGAACAAUAUUUAGUGGCUUUCAAGAAAAAAGCAGAGAGCACAGUUCCUUGGUCAUGCAGCAGGUUAAGGAUCUAGCCUUUUCACUGCUGUGGCGUGGGUUUGAUCCCUGGCCAGGGCACUUCCAUAUGCUGCAGGCACGGCCAAAAAAAAAAUACAUCCAAUGUGAGUCAUGGGCCACGUGAUAAUGUGGCUUUACUUGUUACAGCAAGAAAUCAGAUAACCCAACUCCAUGUAAUAAGGCUCAACCCAUCUAAAGGACCAUAGAGACAGGUGAGUUCUGUUUGUGAUUAAGCAGGGCCUGGGGGGCCUCCUGGGCCCAGAAACCCUUGCAAGAGCAGGAAGAGGGCAGAGGGAGGGAGCAGUGCUCUGAGGUGCUGGGUGGAGAAUAGAGGUGCCAGUGGGUACCUGGGGUGGGGCUGAUUAGUUAGCUGGGAAAGGCCCUGAAGAGCCCCUGUCCUUCACUCUGAUUUUCUUGUCUCUGGUGGGUGGUCCUUUUCACUUUCUUGGCUUCUGGCAUUUUCUUUUCUUUUUUUUUUAAAUUUUAUUAUUUGUUAUUAUAGUUGAUAUUCAAUGUUCUAUACAGCAAAGUGACCCUGUUACACAUAUAUACAUAUAUGUAUAUAUACACAUUCUUUUUCUCAUAAUAUCUUCCAUCAUGUUCCAUCUCAAGUGAUUGGAUAUAGUGCCCUGUGCAAUACAGCAGGACUUCAUUGCUUAUCCACUUCAAAGGCAAUAGUUUGCAUCUACUGGCUUCUGGUGUUUUCUAGUUCAGUGGUGCUGGUUUCCCCUGUUGUAUUUCAAUUUUAUUUCAUUAAAUAAAUAGGAUCGCAAAGUUGAUUUCAUAGCCAAGGAUUGUAUGACUUGUGUUUUGAAGAACCCAGGGCAGAUGAGCUCGUAAAGCGAUGCUGUGGCGUUGCUUGCAAGAGCCCCCUCUCUCCCUGUCAUCUUCCUGAAGUUCUUCAGAAAGAACAAGUGGUAGAGUUAGAACCAGCGGGCAGGCAUCACCACUAGCAGCACCACCAUUGCCAUUGAGGUGUUGAUGACAGGUGUUUGGUGCCCGAGGGGCAGCGCAGGGUGUGGGCCUGGGGAAAGGUGCUCCAAGCUGAGCCUUUAGCAUGUGCACAGGUGCACACUUGUGAUACUUUCCUGGCCUGGAAAACAAGCCAUUUUAUUUAGUUUGUGGAUAAAUUACUAAAGAAUGUGUAAAUUAAGCACCUUCACCUGUCCCUUCUCACUCCUUGGCUGAGGGACUAGACUGGGCACCAUGUGGCUGACACAGCAGGAUGCCAGGGUUCCUGUAUGACCUUGUCCACAGGGGUGAAGAGUCAUGGUUGACCAGGUCCACUGGUUCUCUGCACGUUCUUCUGAGCCCUCAGUGCUCUGCCUUUCACCGGCCUGAUGGAGCUCUUAAAGCUGAAGUGCUCCUGGUACUUACUGCCCUUCACUUAGGAUUCUUGGCCCCUUAAUAACUCGAAUUCAGCUUGUGUUAUUCUGUUUGAAAGGCAAGAGGUUGUGUUCCUUAAAUGACUGCAGAUUUUCUAGAGUGAGCUGGGAGGACAGGGUAACAGAUUCCUGAUUGUCUCUCCCCCUCUGAACUGGAGACCUUCAGUUAUAUUUCUCUCAGUACCCUUGGUUGUUUAUUUGGGGGACAGAAUCCUUAAUGUACUGUAACUUUGUCUGGAAGACAUGGGGAGAACUGGGCUGAUAGCUUCAGAGGAUAAUCCAUUCUGCCAUUUUUUUUUUUUUUUCUUUUUCUGACUGCACCUGUGGCAUGUGGAUGUUCCCAGACCAGGGGUCGAAUCAGAGCUGCAGCUGAGGCCUAGGCCAGAGCCACAGCAACACCAGAUCCUUACCCCACUGAGCAAGGCCAGGGAUUGAACUUGAAUCCUCACAGAGACAGCAUUGGGUCCUUACCCUGCUGAGCCACAACGGGAACUCCUAUCAAUUUUAGAAUCAGAAAAAAAUCUAUUUAAAGCAGUGAAUAUUUGCUUUUAAAAAUAUCAAAUAAAAAAAAAUGCAAAGUGGAAAGUGAAAACCCCUCUCCCGGAUGGUGAUUAGGAACAGAUCAAGGGUCAAGGGUGUCUUUUGUCUGCAUUACUUGACAAUAAAGUCACUCUACUUUCUGGUUGAGCCCUAUAUAUAGAUCUGGCUGAGUGGGGACAUCUGUGUCUGAAGAGCUCGGCUUCAGAACAGCUGUGUUCACACAUCUGCUUCUUUGCUAACAUCUAGAAGUAGGGGAUCCCAUAAAAUGAUAUAGAUUCCACUACCCACCCCAAGAGUAAUGUGCUGCUGAAGCCAAGUUUGGGAUGGAAGGAAUGGAGUGGGCUGAAUUAAAAGUCAGGGAUUUGUAGGGGUUCCUGCUGUGGCACAUUGGGCUAAGGAUCUGGUGUUGUCUCUGCACCAGCUCGGGUUCGGAGUCCCAGCCUGGUGCAGUGGGUUAAGGAUCCAGCAGUGCUGCAGCUGUGGCAUAGGGCAUAGCUAUGGCUCAGAUUCCAUCCCUGGCCUGGAAACUUCCAUGUGCCAGGGGUGCAGUUGGGUCUUCGUUGAUGGUUAGGGCCCCUUGAGCUGGGGAGUUUUCUGGAAGGUAUCGGUGCCAUCGCCUUUAUUGUACUGGAAGAGGGCAAGAGCAGAUAGAGGCAGGGACCCAAGUUAGGAGUUGUCUGGAUCAUCCAGGUGAGAGAUGUUGGUGGCCUGGACCAGGACUGGAGGGAGCUCCCAGAAGGUGGAGGAGGUGAUGAGGUACCUACACCUGGUCUCAGAGGGCUUCUGUCUAGUUAAGAACAUAGCCUUGAGCACGCAGUCCCAUAGCGGGUUCUGCACAUGAAGUGUGAAGGAUGAAAAUUUAGUUGCAAAGAUCAAGGAACCUCUCAAGUUGGGGUGGGUGAGUUUCUUCAUUUGAUUGUAAUUCCCAAGGCUUAUAAAAGCCCGCUGUUUGCCCUACAAAGGACCACAAGCACAAGGAAAUACACACUAUGUUCCCUCGUCAUAUUACAAAAAUGCAGAUUGGUGCUGCAUGCAGCAAAAAUUCCAAUCGGAUUGGUUCCUUUGUAGGAUAAUCAAUGGAAUCUUUUGUCUAUUUCUGAGCACAGGAUUCCUUUCCCCUGAGUGGUGGAUUUGGAGUGUUUUUCUCAGAGGAGGAAUGCCUCCCUCGUGUAAUCCAUCCAUCUCCCCCUUUGCAGCGGAGUUCUGAUGAAUGAAUCCUUUGUGCAGCCCUCAGCCGCCUGCUUGUCUCUGCUGGAGAUGAAACAGGUGCAGUCGCCUUUGCUCCAACUCAUCAACUGUUGUCUGAGAUUAUUGGAGGGCUGCAAGGAAGCCUUCAGGGUUUCAUUAUGCUCCAGACGGCUGUCAACCAGUGAGCCAUGAUUCCGACGAGAGAGCUGUGGGGAAGAACAUGGUUUUGGUUGGCAGACCUGGUUUGGUUGAGAUCCAGCAUCCCACCAUGAGCUGUCUUUAGGCACGUUGUCUCCCUGCUCCGGGCCUCGGAUUCAUCUCAUGUAUUAAGAAGACAGUGACACUUUCUGGAUGUGUCCUAUCUCCUGUCUCCAAUGAAAAGCUGAUUCUUUGGUUGCUGGUCAAGUGCAGAUAAAAGAUGAUCAGGGCUGUCACUUUACAGGAGAUUUCACAGUAUGGGGUAUGUGUGUGUGUGUGUGUGUGUGUGUGUGUGUGUGUGUGUGUGCGCGCGCGCGCGCGCUUGGCCAUGGCAUUCGGAAGUUCCUGGGCCAGGAAUUGAACCUGUGCUACAGCAGUGCCAAAUAAACACUUAACAGCAGUGUUGCAAAAUCCUUCACUGCUAGGCCACUGGAACUCUUCAGAAUGUUUUAAAAGCACCUUUUUAUUGUCUUUUAGCCGUGAGGCUAGGACAGAAAAAAAUAUAAAUUAUUCAGAUUAGAGAAAACACGCUCUUAAACAGUAUUCUCAUGGAGAGGCAAGUAUGGUUUGGAGGAUGGGAUGCAAUAAGUAAUCUUGAAUUAGAGAAUAAAAUAAAAUUCCUCUACUGUGUCAGAGUGAGGUGGAAACGAGGCAAAAGAUUGCCCUUUUGCUGGAAAGAGCCCAGCUAGAGUCUUUAC
This 5582-nucleotide long non-coding RNA is filed under the name Sus scrofa (pig). RNAcentral describes it as "lncRNA (ENSSSCG00000061578.1)". The record is from RNAcentral. Lineage: Eukaryota; Metazoa; Chordata; Mammalia; Artiodactyla; Suidae.